GCUUCCCUUAACCUCUGGCUCUUUUCUGUUCAGCCAGUGGAAAUAAUGAAAAGGAUAUAUUAAAUUACUGAUCUAGAAUCUUUUUCUGCUUCUUCAACUGUUGAUCUUCUCUUCCCUAAAUGUUUUCUAUUUCUUUUCUCAACUAGGAUGAAUGGACCGAGCUUCAGAGCUUUCUAAUUUAUUCUUCCCAUCUCCCAACCAUAGCAUCGCCAUUCCUAGUAGAACCUAUUCUUUUGUGGAUAUUCAGGCUCAGAAGUUUCACAGACUUCACAGCCUUUGAAACCCAACCCAACCCAUCCAACCCAAGCCAAAUAGUCCUUCUGGGCUCCAGGCUUUGUCUAAUGCCAUGUUAUUUAGGAAGAUCCAGACACUAUACAGUGGUAGCACAUGCUUAAUAAUGAGAGCUUCAUUUGCAUGUUAGUGAAAUAUCUGAAGCCUAAACCCGUGGUCCUUCAGAAUCAUCCCAAUAGUGUCAUCAUCCCCUCAGAAGUUUUACCAUUCUACAAUUAAACAUUUCUCUGAUUGAGCUGGGAACUCCAGAGUCCUCCCUCUGUCUGUGUUACAGACAUUGCACACUGUGAAUCUGAUGGGUUAUCUCAAGCCUUCUCCAAACCCUGAUAUGUUUUUGCUAGCCUCGCUGUAAGAGAAAUCUUUAGGUUUUCUUGCUUGUUUCUUAUUUAUUUCUUGCUUAUUUCUUGCUUAUUUCUUGACCAUAUGGAAAUCUUUGACUAGGCUAUUUUGACCUUUCUAAUUUUUCUUCUUACUUUUAACAACCCUCAUCACAACACACUGUUUGGGUUUUGUUGAAAUUUGAUUUAUUCCAGCCCAUUUCCUCAAUCAAUGAUCAUUGAUGGAAGCACAUCACUUCCAAUAGUCCCUUAGCCUAAAGGAUACCACACUAAAGGAAAACACACACACACACACACACACACACACACACACACACACACACACACACACCAUGUCUUCAAAAAAUGGCAGAGGUAUCAUUUGGAUAAUUGUCAUUAUCAUUUGGAUAAGGUGUCAUUCUGGUCUGAUUAUUUUGGCUUUAAAGAAACUAGUGAUUCCUGUCUAGAAUUAGUCAAAGUAUAUUUUGGAAGUAAUGUUUUUUUCCUGGCUUUAAAAAUGUUUAUAAAAAAAACUUUUAUAACAAGCUAUUUUCCUCCGGAUGAAUUAAAUAUGGGUAAAAAAUUUUUCAAUGAUAUGUAAAGGUUUGUGUAACAUAGAGGAUGAGUCAUUCCUAAAGAAGCAAGCUGCUCUACUAGCUUCUAGUGUUCUGCUUUCAAAUUUUUCCUGUCUCUUUUUAAAUACAUCUGAAAACUGUUAACUAUAUUUUUGUUCCACUUGUGAUUCACUUGAGGGUUUGACUGUAAGAAAGCAGACUAACAUAAUUAAAUCAAUUAAAAGAGCUAGAUAAAUCUAAGGAAUAUUUAUGAAAUAAAUUUCUGUGUGAGUUUAAGAAUUCAAAGGUCAUGAAUAAAAGCUACAUAACCAUC
This 1496-nucleotide long non-coding RNA is filed under the name Rattus norvegicus (Norway rat). Its description in RNAcentral is "long non-coding RNA NONRATT023135". Lineage: Eukaryota; Metazoa; Chordata; Mammalia; Rodentia; Muridae. The record is from RNAcentral.